This is a long non-coding RNA of Myotis lucifugus (little brown bat), 2644 nucleotides long. RefSeq lists it as uncharacterized. The record is from RefSeq and is a predicted model, not a curated record. The transcript has 2 exons. NCBI's taxonomy places the organism in Eukaryota, Metazoa, Chordata, Mammalia, Chiroptera, Vespertilionidae.
ACUGGAACCCUUGUGCACUGUUGGGAAUGUAAAAUGGUGCAGCCACUAGAAAAACUAUAUAUCAGUUCCUCAAAAAUCUAAGAAUAGAAUUAUCACCUGGCUCAGGAAUUCCUCUUUUGGGUAUAUACCCCCAAAGAAUUGAAAGCAGGAUCUCAAAGAUAUAUUUGUAUUCCCGUGUUCUUAGCAGCACUAUUCACAACAGCCAAAAAAUGGAUGAAACCCAAGUGUCCACUGACUGAUGAAUGGUAUACAAAAUGUGGUAGAUACAUACAAUGAAAUAUUAUUCAGCCUUAAAAAGGAAGGACAUUUUGACACACGCUAUAACAUUGAUGAGCCUUGAGGACAUUAUGCUAAAUGAAAUAAACCAGUCACAGAAACAUAAAUACUAUGAGACAUAAAAUAAUCCAGUUCAUAAAAUAAGAUUAAAAAGUAGAAUGGUGGUUACCAGGGAUGAAGGGAGGGAGAAAUGGGAAGUUAGUGUUUAAUGGGUACAGAGUUUCAGUUUUGCAAGAUGAAGAAGUUCUGGAGAUGGAUGGUGGUUGUGGCUGCACAGCAGUGUGAAUGUACUUACUAUCACUGAACUUAAAAGUGGUUAAGAUGGCUGACCACACGGAGGACAGACAUGGUUGAAGCAAUGCCACCUGUGUGGGGUGCCUUUCCAAAGGUUCCCCCAAAGGCCUCAGGGCUGACUCUCUUUGGCCCGUGAAAAGUCGCAGACCCAUGCCUGAACCAACCCUUAUGACUGAUGACCACACCAGGGUGGCACAGCCACCUGGGACAAUAAGGGAAUUCUGGCACAGGGAAUGGCAUGAGCAAAGACCCAGCACCAUGAAGCUGGAACAGCAGCACAGCGGGCUGCCCGGAGCAGGCAUAGCAGUUCAGGGUCAGCAGGCACCUUCAGCGCCCCCGAUCAGGGGACAGCAUGAUGGGAUCUGCAAUUUGCAGGCUUCACGUGGCAGCUAAUGGUGGGUGGCCUGGUGGGAGUGGUGACAUUCAGGCCCUCUAGCAUUUCUUCCCAGGUCCUUCUCCCGGUAAAAGAGCCCCUUUCCCUGAGAGCAAAGAGGCUAGCCUGCUCAGAAUGUUUUCAACACAAACAUCUGGGGGUGGGCCCUCCAGGUGUCCUGGGUCAUUGCAAGAAAGAGCUCUUGUGGAAGCAAAUCUAUAAACUCAGUUGCCAGGAAAGUACUUAACUGGCCUCUAUUCAUCCUGCACCAGGCGGCUUCAGAGAGAGAAUGGUCAUACCUCCUCGACAAUAGCCUAUUUGGGCCAGAUCCAGGGUCUGGCUUCUCUGGCACCUAACCACCAGCCUUCCUGCCCCACCCGCCCACAGCAGCUGGUGUGUGGCUGCUGGCAUUGUCUCUGGUACACAGGGGCCAUGCUGGGCUGGGCAGGGCCACGGUGGGGGCCACAUGGCCUUUCUUUAUGCGGCCCCCACAACAACUCCCACCCAAAUCACUCCUCCCCGCUGCCCGGAGUUUUGAACACAGUUCUCGCCCUCUCUCUGGCUCUGCUGGGCAGCGUGGUUAUGUAAUGCGCAGCCAGCCCCCCAAGGCCCUGCCCCCAGCCUGUGGGCAGAGAAUGGGCAGUGCUGCUUUCCCCAGAGUGGAGCUGCUCGGUUCUGGCCCGCACCUGCCUCAGAGCAGGAAGUGGAGCAGAAGGAAAGGUGAAUUAGUUAGAGUGCUCUCAGCUGCAAGGAACAGAAGGCCCAAUGGGAAGGGUCUUGAACAAGGAAGGAGAUGCGUCUCCUGCACGAACAAGCCCCGAGGUACAACAGCCCAGGGCCAGUCCGCUCAGUGCUGCAGUGACAGCCACAGAGGCCGGUGUCAUCUGCAUUCCAUGCUGCCCUCAGUGGGCCAGUUCUGCUCUUGGGCCAGUCUCCCUCGUGACCACCAGCUUGCUGCCACUGCUCCAGGCAUCACAUUGAGACAUGACCACACCCAGCAGAGGGACCACCUCUUCCUGGAUAGUCUUUUUACUAGAGUUAGGGAACUUUUCCCAGAAUCCCCGUAGCAGCUUCUGUCCUAUUUCACUGGUCAGAAUUGCGUCACACCCAUUCUCGGUCAGCCUCCAGCAAAGGGCACAGAAAAGCCAUGACUGGCUUAAGGGCAGGAACGACCCCCACAGCACGGGCUUCUGAUACUCCAGCGUAGCCCGGCAGCAUCUGCUGCACCAAGACAGAAAGGUUCCUCCCACCCAGAGAUCGGUGGAGAGGGAAUUGGGGCUCUAGUCCUGCCUUCUCCACCAGUCACUGCCUGACCCUGGACACGUCAGGCCCCCAUCAGUCUCCCACCUGGCAGGCAUUCUCUCUUCACACCCUGAUUUGGCUGGGCGGCAAUGUGCCCAGACAGGGGGUGGGUCAUCACUCCGUAAGCAGUUGUGGCAGCAGCUCUGCCCUUUGUUAAUAUCUGCCUGGGCAGCCUCCACUGCAACUAGGGGUAACCAGGUGAGCUAUUCCCAGGCAUGAGAAAGAAGGGGACCCCUCUGGGAUCUUUCUGGGAAAGAUUUCUUCUACAAGGGAAGUCCCCCCGCCCUUUACUCAGACAUGCCAACCUCAUGCUUUGACGUUACUGGACUGUACCACAACCCUGGAACCAUAUAGAUUUGUUAUAUGAGUAAAAUAAACUCCUGUUCAAUUAAACCCCCA